UCAGGUUGUAGUGGGUGUAAUGUACCUACUAGCCUACGACGGGUACGGGUUGUGGAAGCAAGAGCCCGGAGAUGGAUUCUGAGACAUGAAUCCAUGCCCUACGGGGCGCAGCAGGCGCGAAAACUUUACAAUGCGGGAAACCGUGAUAAGGGAACACUGAGUGCUAGCAUUUAUGUUAGCUGUCCACAUGUGUAAAUAGCAUGUGAUAGCAAGGGCUGGGCAAGACCGGUGCCAGC
This 236-nucleotide ribosomal RNA is filed under the name uncultured archaeon. RNAcentral's name for it is "partial 16S ribosomal RNA". It matches the Rfam family "Archaeal small subunit ribosomal RNA", at positions 225 to 462 of the family's 1478-position model. The record is from RNAcentral.